GAUGAACGCUGGCGGCGUGCCUAAUACAUGCAAGUCGAGCGAACAGACGAGGAGCUUGCUCCUCUGACGUUAGCGGCGGACGGGUGAGUAACACGUGGAUAACCUACCUAUAAGACUGGGAUAACUUCGGGAAACCGGAGCUAAUACCGGAUAAUAUAUUGAACCGCAUGGUUCAAUAGUGAAAGACGGUUUUGCUGUCACUUAUAGAUGGAUCCGCGCCGCAUUAGCUAGUUGGUAAGGUAACGGCUUACCAAGGCAACGAUGCGUAGCCGACCUGAGAGGGUGAUCGGCCACCCUGGAACUGAGACACGGUCCAGACGCCUACGGGAGGCAGCAGUAGGGAAUCUUCCGCAAUGGGCGAAAGCCUGACGGAGCAGCGCCGCGUGAGUGAUGAAGGUCUUCGGAUCGUAAAACUCUGUUAUUAGGGAAGAACAAAUGUGUAAGUAACUAUGCACGUCUUGACGGUACCUAAUCAGAAAGCCACGGCUAACUACGUG
This 497-nucleotide ribosomal RNA is filed under the name uncultured bacterium. Its description in RNAcentral is "partial 16S ribosomal RNA". It matches the Rfam family "Bacterial small subunit ribosomal RNA", at positions 28 to 507 of the family's 1533-position model. The record is from RNAcentral.